GACGAACGCUGGCGGCGUGCUUAACACAUGCAAGUCGAACGAUGAAACCUAGCUUGCUAGGUCGGUUAGUGGCGAACGGGUGAGUAACACCGGACUAACCUGCCCCUUUCUCUGGGAUAACGCUCCGUAAUGAGUGCUAAUACCGGAUACUCCCAUCGCGGCACAUGCCUUGAUGUGGUAAGUUUUUCGGAAAGGGAUGGAGUCGCGGCCUAUCAGCUUGUUGGUGCGGGAACGGCUCACCAAGGCGACGACGGGUAGCCGGCCUGAGAGGGCGACCGGACACACUGGGACUGAGACACGGACCAGACUCCUACGGGAGGCAGCAGUGGGGAAUAUUGCACAAUGGGCGCAAGCCUGAUGCAGCGACGCCGCGUGAGGGAUGAAGGUCUUCGGAUUGUAAACCUCUUUCAGUAGGUACGAAGAGAAAGUGACGGUACCUAAAGAAGAAGCACCGUCUAACUACGUGCCAGCCGCCGCUGUAA
This 482-nucleotide ribosomal RNA is filed under the name uncultured bacterium. RNAcentral describes it as "partial 16S ribosomal RNA". It matches the Rfam family "Bacterial small subunit ribosomal RNA", at positions 28 to 523 of the family's 1533-position model. The record is from RNAcentral.